Molecule: ribosomal RNA, 586 nt
Filed under: Leporinus jatuncochi
Lineage: Eukaryota; Metazoa; Chordata; Actinopteri; Characiformes; Anostomidae
Description: partial 16S large subunit ribosomal RNA
Rfam family: Bacterial large subunit ribosomal RNA
Source: RNAcentral
AACAUCGCCUCCUGCAAAAAUCAAUGUAUAGGAGGUCCUACCUGCCCAGUGACUAUUAGUUAAACGGCCGCGGUAUUUUGACCGUGCUAAGGUAGCGCAAUCACUUGUCCUUUAAAUGAAGACCGGUAUGAAUGGUGUAACGAGGGCUUAACUGUCUCCCUUCUCUGGUCAAUGAAAUUGAUCUGCCCGUGCAGAAGCAGGCAUAAAAAUACAAGACGAGAAGACCCUUUGGAGCUUAAGACAAAAAGCCAACUGUGUUAAAGCCCCUGACAAAAAUAAGCUAAACAAAGCAGUCAAUCUGGCCAACGUCUUCGGUUGGGGCGACCGCGGGGGAAAACAAAGCCCCCAUGUGGACUGGGAAUAUCCCUAAAACCAAGAGAUACACCUCUAAGUCACAGAACAUCUGACCUAUAGAUCCGGCCCGCAAGCCGAUCAACGAACCAAGUUACCCUAGGGAUAACAGCGCAAUCCUCUUCAAGAGUCCAUAUCGACAAGAGGGUUUACGACCUCGAUGUUGGAUCAGGACAUCCUAAUGGUGCAGCCGCUAUUAAGGGUUCGUUUGUUCAACGAUUAAAGUCCUACGUGA